UUGAUUAUCAAUUCAUUGUCAAUGUAUUUGGCUUGUUUGUUGAGAUGUGCUACUUAUAUGUUGAUCAAAUUUGGUUGCAUUACCUCAGUGAAUUGUUCAUUUUGAUGAUCAAUUCAUUGUGGUGUUCUCUAUUGUAAUACAUUAAGUUUAAAAAAAAAAGUCAAACUAAAAUAAAAUAAUAAAAUAUAGUAUGUGAGGCGGUGGAAUUGGAUUGAUAUCAAUCCAAUUCUACCCAAAACAAAAUUUAUAAUACCA
RNAcentral lists this long non-coding RNA (255 nucleotides) under Olea europaea (common olive). Its description in RNAcentral is "long non-coding RNA (OEUR_LNC004910)". The record is from RNAcentral. Lineage: Eukaryota; Viridiplantae; Streptophyta; Magnoliopsida; Lamiales; Oleaceae.